UUAGCAGAAUAAAUUGAUGAAAUUAGACUUUUCACUAAUGCCUGACUAUCACUGAACAGUGAAAGACAUCUGCAACAUGGCCAAAAUCUUGGGUAUACUUUAUAUUUUUUUUUAUUAAUUUGCAACCAUGGUGAUAUCUAUCAUAAACAUGAAAAUCCCCAUUUUGACGUGAAGGAUAAACUCAAUGAAAAAGCUAAAUUAUCCUCUGGUUUCACAGUUGCGCAGAAAUUUCGUUUGUCUUUACAUUUUUUCCAACCUCGAUUGUUUUUUUAUUUAUUUUACCUUUUGUAGGUAAGGGAUUCAUUUGCAAUUAUGACCUGUACAAAUGUUUAAGAAAGUGUUAAAGUCCCUGUAAAGGCAAUUAAAAAAAAAUCUAAACACAUUAUAAUUGUUAAAUGUAUUGCUAAAACACAUUACAAAGACUGUGGGAGUACUGAAUAGCCUACGUGCACAAUCGUAGUGACGAACUUCCGCUGUCGCCAGAAGUCGGCAUAUCUUUUUACGGUUUACUUGCGCGUGGCACAAAAUGUUUUCGAUGUCUCCAGGAUCUUCCGAAAAUUUGCGUCAGCGAUGUUCAUCGCAUUGUUGAUGCCUGGUCCCCUGCUCCGACAAGCAAGAGGGACAAGGGCUUUAAACUCUACAUAUCGAGUUAUCUGCACAACUACAAGGGUAAGUAUUUUAAUCUAAUGUGGUGUGCCGGCAGAUAGCGACUAAGCUAGUUCGCCACGUGUUCAUUUUUAAUGUAACGUUAGUAUAGAAGCUUGUUUUUUCUUAGUUUUAAAGCAGACUGUUUGUUAAUUUUUGUGAUAAUUGUAAUAUCAACUGUAUUAACUUGCUCUCCUCUCAGUUUCUAAUAAAGAUCAGGGCACAGGUGAAGUCACUGUUAGGGCAUUGUGCUACAGGUCCAUGAGAAAAGCAGAGUAUGGUGAAGCUAGAAUUGAUAAGACCGCAGUUAUAGGCUUGUUACUUUAAUAGCCCGAUGUUCCUGGGGACUCGGCUAAGGUUAUUCAUGUUUAAUGUAACUCAAAUAAAAUGAAAACAGUUAUUGUAGGCAGGUAAUUUUCCCUAGCUGGUCCCCUCCGUGUAAAAUGCGUUCUUAUUCAAGUUUUCAACUCAGUCAUUCGUUUAAGAUGCAAUCUUGUGUUAUAAGUAUUAGGCUAUCAUGAUUAUACAGUGAACAAGCUAUAUAAAUAAGUAUUUAAUAUAAUAAAAGUGUAGAGAAACAACCGAGGCUGAAUAUUGUAGAUUUAUUACAAUAUGUUGCAUGUUUGAAUUAAAAUACCUGUGGAUAUGCAACUUCCCACUCAUGAAAGUUUUAUGUUAUUCAAAGGAGCACACUCUCUACAAAGGCCUGACUGGAGAUUUGCCUGAUCUAUCCGUCCUUCAGGUGACAGCGGCUCACUUGUAGAGCAGGUGAAGCAAGUUGGGACAAUGUUGAAGACGUUUGCUCUGGGCAAUCAGGUGCAGAUCAGACCCUAAUGCUGCGACGUCUUGGAGAGUUUGGCGAUGUUGUGCGUAGCAUGGACAACAAAAUGGACGCUAUGCUGCAACAUUUCAGUGCCAAUGUGUCUGUUGGAGAGUUAUCCCUGACAGGGGAUCUGUUACUCCCCCCUAGACACCCAGGAAGAUUUGGCGUUGCUUGACAACAGUUUCAGGCAGGAUAAAGAGCUCCAGCAACGAUUUCUUCGGUUUUUGGCAAUCAAAUGUGGGAAGGACCUAAAGACAACCGUGUGGCGAAUGCUUCAGAGUAUCUUCUCUAAUCACCUUUUCAUCAAUACAACCUGGACUGGUGUAGGGGAUAAAGCAUGUUUUAGAGACAUGUUCCUGAAGACCAUUGUUCAAAGAGCCAUCUGGAAGAACCCGGCAACCCAGGAUGCCACUGAUGAGGCGAUCCAGGUUAACGUUACGCGUUACCUGAAAGGAGCAUCUGAACGUGAAGGUGUAAAAAGGUGCCGCACAGCUUAGAGGGACCCACAGCCGACCCCUUAAACCUAGGCUGACUACUGACACCCCAGCAUCACUGACAACUGGAACCCUUUCUUUAUCCUGCAGUCAGUAACAUCAAGACCCCUAAAAAAGCCUGC
Molecule: long non-coding RNA, 2084 nt
Organism: Xyrauchen texanus (razorback sucker)
Lineage: Eukaryota; Metazoa; Chordata; Actinopteri; Cypriniformes; Catostomidae
Exons: 5
Source: RefSeq, a predicted model, not a curated record